Molecule: ribosomal RNA, 2366 nt
Filed under: Staphylococcus epidermidis
Lineage: Bacteria; Bacillati; Bacillota; Bacilli; Caryophanales; Staphylococcaceae
Description: partial 23S ribosomal RNA
Rfam family: Bacterial large subunit ribosomal RNA
Source: RNAcentral
AGAUUAAGUUAUUAAGGGCGCACGGUGGAUGCCUUGGCACUAGAAGCCGAUGAAGGACGUUACUAACGACGAUAUGCUUUGGGUAGCUGUAAGUAAGCGUUGAUCCAGAGAUUUCCGAAUGGGGGAACCCAGCAUGAGUUAUGUCAUGUUAUCGACAUGUGAAUUCAUAGCAUGUCAGAAGGCAGACCCGGAGAACUGAAACAUCUUAGUACCCGGAGGAAGAGAAAGAAAAAUCGAUUCCCUGAGUAGCGGCGAGCGAAACGGGAAGAGCCCAAACCAACAAGCUUGCUUGUUGGGGUUGUAGGACACUCUAUACGGAGUUACAAAAGAACAUGUUAGACGAAUCAUCUGGAAAGAUGAAUCAAAGAAGGUAAUAAUCCUGUAGUCGAAAACAUAUUCUCUCUUGAGUGGAUCCUGAGUACGACGGAGCACGUGAAAUUCCGUCGGAAUCUGGGAGGACCAUCUCCUAAGGCUAAAUACUCUCUAGUGACCGAUAGUGAACCAGUACCGUGAGGGAAAGGUGAAAAGUACCCCGGAAGGGGAGUGAAAGAGAACUUGAAACCGUGUGCUUACAAGUAGUCAGAGCCCGUUAAUGGGUGAUGGCGUGCCUUUUGUAGAAUGAACCGGCGAGUUACGAUCUGAUGCAAGGUUAAGCAGCAAAUGUGGAGCCGCAGCGAAAGCGAGUCUGAAUAGGGCGUUGAGUAUUUGGUCGUAGACCCGAAACCAGGUGAUCUACCCUUGGUCAGGUUGAAGUUCAGGUAACACUGAAUGGAGGACCGAACCGACUUACGUUGAAAAGUGAGCGGAUGAACUGAGGGUAGCGGAGAAAUUCCAAUCGAACUUGGAGAUAGCUGGUUCUCUCCGAAAUAGCUUUAGGGCUAGCCUCAAGUGAUGAUUAUUGGAGGUAGAGCACUGUUUGGACGAGGGGCCCCUCUCGGGUUACCGAAUUCAGACAAACUCCGAAUGCCAAUUAAUUUAACUUGGGAGUCAGAACAUGGGUGAUAAGGUCCGUGUUCGAAAGGGAAACAGCCCAGACCACCAGCUAAGGUCCCAAAAUAUAUGUUAAGUGGAAAAGGAUGUGGCGUUGCCCAGACAACUAGGAUGUUGGCUUAGAAGCAGCCAUCAUUUAAAGAGUGCGUAAUAGCUCACUAGUCGAGUGACACUGCGCCGAAAAUGUACCGGGGCUAAACAUAUUACCGAAGCUGUGGAUUGUCCUUUGGACAAUGGUAGGAGAGCGUUCUAAGGGCGUCGAAGCAUGAUCGCAAGGACAUGUGGAGCGCUUAGAAGUGAGAAUGCCGGUGUGAGUAGCGAAAGACGGGUGAGAAUCCCGUCCACCGAUUGACUAAGGUUUCCAGAGGAAGGCUCGUCCGCUCUGGGUUAGUCGGGUCCUAAGCUGAGGCCGACAGGCGUAGGCGAUGGAUAACAGGUUGAUAUUCCUGUACCACCUAGUAUCGUUUUAAUCGAUGGGGGGACGCAGUAGGAUAGGCGAAGCGUGCUGUUGGAGUGCACGUCCAAGCAGUAAGGCUGAGUGUUAGGCAAAUCCGGCACUCAUAAGGCUGAGCUGUGAUGGGGAGAGGAAAUUGUUUCCUCGAGUCGUUGAUUUCACACUGCCGAGAAAAGCCUCUAGAUAGAUAACAGGUGCCCGUACCGCAAACCGACACAGGUAGUCAAGAUGAGAAUUCUAAGGUGAGCGAGCGAACUCUCGUUAAGGAACUCGGCAAAAUGACCCCGUAACUUCGGGAGAAGGGGUGCUCUUUAGGGUUCACGCCCAGAAGAGCCGCAGUGAAUAGGCCCAAGCGACUGUUUAUCAAAAACACAGGUCUCUGCUAAACCGUAAGGUGAUGUAUAGGGGCUGACGCCUGCCCGGUGCUGGAAGGUUAAGAGGAGUGGUUAGCUUCUGCGAAGCUACGAAUCGAAGCCCCAGUAAACGGCGGCCGUAACUAUAACGGUCCUAAGGUAGCGAAAUUCCUUGUCGGGUAAGUUCCGACCCGCACGAAAGGCGUAACGAUUUGGGCACUGUCUCAACGAGAGACUCGGUGAAAUCAUAGUACCUGUGAAGAUGCAGGUUACCCGCGACAGGACGGAAAGACCCCGUGGAGCUUUACUGUAGCCUGAUAUUGAAAUUCGGCACAGCUUGUACAGGAUAGGUAGGAGCCUUUGAAACGUGAGCGCUAGCUUACGUGGAGGCGUUGGUGGGAUACUACCCUAGCUGUGUUGGCUUUCUAACCCGCACCACUUAUCGUGGUGGGAGACAGUGUCAGGCGGGCAGUUUGACUGGGGCGGUCGCCUCCUAAAAGGUAACGGAGGCGCUCAAAGGUUCCCUCAGAAUGGUUGGAAAUCAUUCAUAGAGUGUAAAGGCAUAAGGG